Long non-coding RNA from Gallus gallus (chicken), 9866 nucleotides. RefSeq lists it as uncharacterized. The record is from RefSeq and is a predicted model, not a curated record. The transcript has 4 exons. Lineage: Eukaryota; Metazoa; Chordata; Aves; Galliformes; Phasianidae.
GUGUCUGUCUGUGUUUGUCUGCUUAUGACUUCAGACUAAUGCUAGUUCUGCACAGAAUUUAAUUGUAGACAAAAGCUCAAAAUACGUAGAUAGAGGGUCAGAUAGAUAAAUAAAUAAACAUAUUAUCUCAGAAUAACUACAUCAAUAUCAAGAGUAAAGCCCCUUUUGUCACUGCAUAUGCAGCAGCUCUGUAGAGAAUAGCCUGUUCUUUGUUGCCAUCCAAGGAGACAUCAUUUUAUUCGACACCCAUGGAGCUGCACAAAUAAGAGUCAGCAGGCAUCAAGCCAUCCUCCUGGAAAAAAAAUUGGCAUCUCCCUCUCUGGCACAUCUGGUUUAAUCCUAUUUGGCAUUGGCUGUGCAGUAAACAAUGCUGUGGAAGUUGGAAAUGAAAAGUAGAAGAAUGUGGGAAGGCGCUGAACAGAAGCAGAGGAAGAGACGCACAUAGUUAAGACACUUCGCUCUGGAGCAGCUGGAUAGCACAGUGGCAUAGGACUCACAAGUUGCAAGAAAGGCUGUUCCCCUUUAAAUGGAUUGAAUCAGGCAGGACUGCAGGGAGAGACCCGCAACAAACUCUCAGAUACCCUAUUAAGUGGGCUUGGUGUAAGUAAGGCCAUUGGUUUUGGACACUCAUUAAUUUGAUUUAUUAGCUUCAAUUCCAAUUAUAUUGCAUUGUGUUAUCUUGCAUUCUGCUAUCAUACUUAGUAAAUUUUCUCCCUUAGCUCAUUGCUGUUGUUUAGUUUUUAGGCCCAACUCCCUACUUUUCCCUACCCCCCUUCCAAUUCUCACAGGGCAUGGGUCCAUGUGUUCCUCCAUCCCAUUAGCCAGGGGCCUGAACUGUUGACAGAGGGUUUAGUCCAGAAGAAGAAAUGACAAACAUGUAAAUUCCUGUCCCACUUUCCUUAUUUUAUGCUUCAAACUACCUGGUACCAGAUCACCUACCUGUUAAUCUAGAGAGGCUCAGGAUGAGCUCAGGCUCUUCUUCCAAAGCACUACCACACAGUGACACCGGGGCUGCUACUCAAUGCAAGAAUCAGGGUUUCCCCUUCAUAAAAAAAGCAGAGGUGUCUCAUUUUCCCCCUUUCAUCUGAAGAAAUCUUAUCAGCAGCAAAAUGUCUAAGGGAUUACAUGACAACAAUAACAACAACAAAGAAACCUAACAACUCAUUCAAAUUUUUAUUUUCUCUAUAUCAGAGCAAUCAUUAAAACUGAGCAAACUCAAAACCAAAUUAAAAUCCCUCUGCUACCACCAGCAGGCAAUGGUCUUGAAUCUGUGAUUUUAAAGUGGUGGAAGGCUUAGUGUUGCUAUUGCAGCAGAACAGUGUGUUGUAGUUUCCCUCUCAGCAAAUCUCAUAUACUUUAUUACAUAGGAAUAUCCAGGUCUUUCUGCUGCUAUUCUAACUAUACAUUCAGUGGUGCAAAUACCUGAAAACCCAUGACCCCCUUCAGUCAUUAAAUUCAAUUUCCCACUCUCCUUACUUCUUUUCUGGAAUAAUUGGCAUCUGAGCUCAAUGGCUCAGUCUCUAACUCCUUAAAUUAAGCAUGCUGUGGUAUGGCUGGCACCACAGAGAACACAGGUGUUGGCUGGAAUCUUACAGAAAAGCAGGAAAAAAUAGGAAAAGAUAUCUGAACUGUCCAACUGUGUCUUCAUCACACAAACUCCUCAUUUGUCAUAUAUUUUCAAGAGGAAUAAUUCCUAACAAGUCUGGGGAUAUCACGUUCUGACUGGUAUGGGUUGGAGAUAUACUAAAACUCUUUCAAUAACAGUAGAGCUAGAAAUGAAUUAAAAUUUAAUGGUUCACUGGCCUUCCCUCCAAGUGUACUGAAAUCUGACCUGUAUGGCUGGAAAAACAGAAAGAACAAAUGAGGAAGACUGGAUUUCAAUUCGCUCGUCUAAUGUUUAAUGUUUCCUCUAUUUAAGUUCAAGGACACAAAUAGGCUCAACUGUGCGAUACAUUUAGAGCUCUUUUCCACCUGGUCAAAAUUUCUACAGAACAUUAGUGUAUGGAGAUCAGUUUAGAUACAUUACUACAAAGCAAUGUGAGAAUUUUAUCUCUAAGCUUUAACAGGAAGAUUAGGCAAUUGAUGACUCCUUGAGGUCUCCUCUUUCUCUAUGAGUGUUUGAGUUUCAGGGAUAGGUAGUUGGAUAGGUAGCUGAAGGAGAAGCAGUGCAGAUCACACUGUAGGAAUAACCCAGAUUGCACCAUGUAACUCUGAGAAAAAAUAGGGAUGAAUUAAACCACUCUGAUGACCUACAUCAAAAGUAUUUGUUGUCUAAGAAAAUGCCAAGAUAAGGAGUGGUUGGAAACUGGACAGCCAAGAUCCAAGAAGAAGCUAAAAAUAAGUUUCCAGAUGAUGCAUGAAACAUUUCUUUAAAUAAAUUCUAAGAAUCUUAAAAACAUGGAAAUGAAUUUAAGUUCCCAGAUGUUACCUUCAGAACAUAGCUAAAACCUUGUCAGUUAUUACAAAUUAACAUCUUUGCUCACUGUACAUAGCUCACUGCCAGAUGAAAGCCCAGUUUCUUUGAUAAUUCAUGCCUAGUCUGGAGUUAAAGAGUUGCUGACCUCAAGCUCCAGUCUGACUCCAAAGGUCUGAUUCUCCAAUCAUCUCAUCAUAUAUCUCAUUAUCUCAUCAUCUUUGACGAGAUUGAGUACACUCUCAGCAAGUUUGAGGAUGACAUCAAGAUGAGCAGUGUGGUUGACACUUGGAGAGAUACGGAUUUGAGGGGUGGGCUAUUCAGAGGAUAAGGAAUUGGUUCAAAGGCCAUAGACAGAGGGUUAUGGUAAAUGGCACUAUGUCCAGGAGGAGGCCGGUGAUGAGUGAUGUCCUUCAGGGUUCUGUCUUGGAACUGGUGCUUUUCAAUAUCUUCAUCAUUGAUGCCAGUGAUGGGUUCAAGUGCACCCUGAGCGACUUUCCCGAUGAUACCAAGCUGAGCAGUGCAAUUGGCAAAUUAGAAGGAAGGGAUGCCAUCCAAAGGGACCUCAACAAACUCAAAAGGUGGGCCCUUGUGAAACUAAUGCGAUUCAACAAAGCAAAGUGUAAGGUUUUGCACUUGGGUCAAGGUAGUUCUAGCUAUGUAUACAAACUGGGAGAAGAACUCCUUGAGAGUAGAACUGCUGAGAAGGAUUUAGAAGUCCUGGUCAACUAAAAACUGAACCUGAGACAGCAGUGUGCGCUUGCAGCCUGGAAGAUCAGUGGUAUCCUGGGUUCAAUCUGAAGAGAAGUGGCCAUCAGGACAAGAGAGGGGAUUGUCCCCCACUAUUUUGCUCUCGUGAGGUCCAAGAUGGAGUACUGCAUCCAAGUCUGGGCCCCAGUACAGGAAAGAUUUGGAGCUCCUGGAGAGAGUCCAGAGCAGGGCCCUAAAGAUGAUCCAAGGGCUGGAGCACCUCUCCUAUGAAGACAAGCUAAAGGAACUGGGCUUGAUCAGCCUGAAAAAAUGAAGGCUGUCAGAAGUCCUCAUUGUGGCCUUCCAAUAUAUAAAGGGAGUUUAUAAACACAAAGGAAAUAAACUUUUUAUACGGGGAGAUAGUGAUAGGAAGAGGGGGAAUGGUUUUAAACUAAUGGAAGGGAAAUUUAGGCUAGAUGUCAGGGGAAAGUUAUUAACUGAGGGAGUAGUCAGGUGCAGGAACAGGUUGACUAGAGAGACUGUGGAUACCCCAUCCAUAGAUGGUGUUUAAGACCAGGACGGAUGUGGCCCUGGGCAAUACGGUCUAGUACUUGAUCUUGUGGCUGGCAACCCUGUAUGUGGCAGGGGGGUUGGAUCUUGAUGAUCCUUGAAGUCCCUUCCAGCCCAAGCUGUUCUAUGAUUCUAUGAUUAUCUCAGUGACAGAGUCAGUGGGAACAAGUCAUUUCACUAGCAUACAUUUUAGUCUUCCUAUCUAAGAGAUGUAAACAACAAUAAAGGCAACUUCAGUAAAUUUCUCUGAGAUCUUAUGUACUCUCUGAAAUGUUAUGUACUAUAUCACAGCUCAGUGACAUUGCACUUAACAGCUUUGCUGGUAUCAUCUUUCUGAAUCUGUGACGAACAGUGAAAACCACUGUGAUCUCUUUCCCAUAACGAACAUGUUUUCUGAGACUGUUUCUAUUUCCAAGUUCCUGGUGUGACUUCCUGAUUGCUACAGGGACAUUUUUAAAGCCCAGAUCACUGCUUUAUGUUCAAAGAUGAUGCCCACAAAUAUGGCCUUCCAUGAAAAAACAGCAGUCAUGAGUUUCUGGGGGAAAGCAUAUCAUUUUAGUCUACAUUUGCAUAUUAGAUUCUACAGUGAGCUCAUGAACUCUCACUGGAACUGAUAAAGGCUACGGUAAUAUGCAGAGUAAUAAGAAUGUCUAUAACUUCAAAGGAAAGCCCUGCCCAAAUUAAUUUUUUCUUCUCCUAAUGUUAUUAAAUAGACAGAUGAGGAAGCUGCAAUGCACUCUGUGAGCUUUAUAAUUUGAUUUCUGUUAAUAUUCGUGUAGAAUCACCACAACCAAUUCGCAUGCAUGCAGUAAUCCAUAGUAGGUCAUCCUAGAGCCCAGGGGUCAGAUGAGAGCCUCAGACAUCCCUGACAUGAGAUCUGCUUUCAAUGAGAAGAAGAAAGUGAAAUAUCUUCCACAUGUUCUGAGGAGCUGUACUUUCAGCUUUUCACACUUCCUUCCCCCCUCUCCAACCCCCCCCCACCCCCUUCCCAAUUUAAUCUGUUAUUAUUGCACAAUUUCAAAUAAUAACGUCUAACAUCUAUGCCUAACUGAACUGUAGGCUUUUCCUCUUCAUUGUCUUCUCUGACAUGGUCAAGGACCAGAUAAUUAAGAAAAUUCACAGAAGCUUUCUUCUGACUGACAUUCCCUUCACAGUCAGUGUUUACUCUCUGCACAUCUUUAUUUAUCCCUUUACAUGACUAAAGGUCUUGUCUUGAAAGGCCUGAUGCACAUGCUAGUUUUGUAAGCUAAUGAAGAAUGAAAUAAAUAUUUUUUUUCUCUUUUUUUUUCUUUCCAAUUUUGUUACUCUCUGAUGUAUAAAAUAUACUCUACUUUUGCAUCAGAAGAGUUCUGUAGCUUUCUUUAUGCAUACACAAUUUGUCUUCAUUUCAGUUUUGAUUCAGAAUGCAAUGAGGAACACAAGAAGUCAGCUAAAUCUCACUGAUAUACACACCCUGUGGAUCUCAGAUUGCAGUAACCUGUAUAACUUAAUGUAUCAGUAUUUGAUUUCCCUGUUGUCACUUUCAAACCUCUAUAUUUUACUCAACAUUGUUGUUAUAUAAUUUUGUUGCAAUAACUGAAUACCUUCAGGAAUUGCAUGGCAUAGCACUUAUGAGGUUUUAAGAUUUCUCCUUCCACUGCAGAAAAAGUUAAUUGCACUGGGUCUGUGCUUUGCCAGUACUGAUUAACACAGAAGCUGAAACUGCAGCUUAAUGUUCUGGCUAUGAGCAAGGAGUCUGAUUCAUUGAUACCCUUCAAAUACCUGCCCUCCAGCAUCCCUUGUUUCUUCAUGAAACUCCAAAGACAUUUCUACAAGAGUUUGAAAAUACCAGAGUUUUGUUUUACUGCUAUGAAUCAAAAAUACUGCAGAUGGAAGGAAACUUUAAGGUUUCUAUGCAUGUUACAAGAAACUCCACAGAAUUCAGUUAUAUUUGAGAUCCCAUCUCAGCUGCCCCAUGAACAUACAGACUUGUAACAACUUCCUCUGGCUUAUAGAAAACAAAACAAAAAGCUUUCACAAUAUGCAAUUAUAGAAUUAAAAGAUUUUAAGAAAACUAAUCACCCCUUUAUUUAUUUAUUUAUUAAUAAUUGAUAAUCAGUUUCCAAGCAAAAGGCCAAACAAAGUGGUAGGAAGCAGAAUGGAUAAGUGCUGGAAUUUCUUAUAUCUGAUAUUCAAAGCAUAGCCGAUGGAUUUCUAAGUCUGAAAUAUAGAAAUCCUUGAAGGACAUUGAAUGGUAACAAACAAACAGCAAGAAAAAAACAACAUCACUUCUAACUUAAAAUCCACAUCUUAGUGCCAUAGAUCCUAUUACUGUAUUAUUGUUUGUUCAAUAACUAUUACCUAUCAUCAUAGCUAUACCACCAACUUUGUGGUUGUACAUUUGCAUUAUAACAUCACUUGCUCUUCUGACACCUUCAUAAUUUUAAAUCCUUCAAUCCUUUCUUGAUGUUUAGCUUACACUUUCCUAAUCCAAUAUUUAGGAAAUAUCUGCCACAGAAUCAGCUUCAAUUAUAUCUGUUUAAUUCAUUACAUGCUUGUGUGGGUUCCUAAUAUACAUAUCUAAUUUUCUUUGUGCCCAUCAUCCAACAUCACUACCAGUGAAACCUCAUCUCACCAAUGAGCUAUGGAAGUACUACAUCUUUCUGAGGAAGAAGCUCGUCAUUUGCCUUCACAAAGCAAGUUAAAAUGGCACGAAGAAUCAGGAAACUUGUCAGCUGAGUUUUUACUUACCCUGUGAGACCAUUCUUUAGGAAAAAGGUGAAUAAAAUGAAAUACAUCUAUGAAAUAAUAAAUCUUCCCAAACUGACGGGGGUUAGCAAACAGGAAUAAGGAGCAGGGGUCAGAAAGGACAAGUCAGCAUGCAAAUGAUCAUAAAACUCAAUAGAAUUGGGUACAGAACUCCCUCAUAAGCUUUUGUAAAUGAUCCCCAAAACUCCUGCAUAGGGUAAGCAGCAGCAUGUCAGACAACUUGGACACACCAAAUUCAGAAUAAUGCCAAUUGGAGAACUGCGGUGUGUCAGUAUGAGAUAAAAUAUCCACUGUUUCACUUGGGAUAAAAUAUCGAACCAGGUCUUCCGAGCUCAUUACAGGAUGUAACAUCGAUGUUUCCAUUAAGAAUGUUGUAGUUUCUCCAUUCACACAUCAAAUUAAAAAAAAAAAAAAAGGGGGGAGGGGGAGGGGGGGACAAAAUAAAACUAAGCUACAUAACUAAAGAAAUUCUGUUAACAGAAGUUGUAUAUGGGCUGCUGAGGACUCCUUGAUAAUUAAUGACUGCUGGACAGACCCAAAACCUGAAAUGACCAGACAGACCAGUGUCCAGUAAGUGACAGACCAUAUAAUUACAAAAUUACAGAGCAUAAAAACCUCUGACUGCUUCCAAUUAUAAUGUGAAAGGGCAACUUCACAGUUGUGCCAGUUAGUAGUGCUGGGGAAAGGAAAAGGAAAAUGUGUUAAAGGCCUAAUGAGGUGUGUGGGUGGAAGUUACUGCCAUAGUUUGCGGCUGUUCAGGUUGUUAGUUCCUACAAUGUGUCACUAUUCAAGAGAGAGAGAAGGGGAGGGAGGUAGAGAUGGGAGUGUUUGAGGGGGAAGGCAUUUUCUCACUGGGCUAACAGAAAUAAAGUGCAAGCAGAGAUUUGCUUUCCCUUACUUCUUCCUGAACACAUCUGACAACAGAUUUUAAAAGAGCCAUUUAAGUUUCCCAGACAGUUUCGGUAAUUGAUUCAGAAUUUUUACAGUCCAGGAGACAUACUUGUUUAUUUUAGCAGGCUGGGGAAUUGUUCCCUCGAAGCCUUUAAAACAAAGACAUAGAGCUCUCAGUAUAUCAGCAGGAGCAGACAGCGCAGAGGAAACACUACACACAGUGUUAGAUGAUACCCCAUCCCCAAAAGCAAGACGUCAGCUGUGGCCUUUUGAGGUCUGGUUAAAUCCUGUCCACAGAGCAGCAAAAACACACAACUGGUCCUUUAUGUGCUUCCACCUUCAGAAUGCUUUUCAUGCUACACACUGUCUCUGGAACCACUCACCUAUACUGAUAGGGCUGUGAUAUUGGACAAGACUCCAUGUUCCUUGAACCACAUGGCUGACAUGCUCCCCAGAUGCACUAAGGCCAUGUAACCUUCUCUUUCUGUGACCCAGCAUACUCUCUGCUUCAUUGCUGACCAUAACACCUUGUAACAUGGUCACCAGACAAGGACAGCUGAGAGGAAGAAAACUGACCACAGUGUUGUCUCAUUUCACAGUCCUUUCAGUGCCUAACACUAAUUUAAAACAGAGAUUACCUCCUGAGCAGUAUUCCAAGAGAGGUUUGCAUCCCAUUCUUUAGGCAAGGAGAAAGGUGGGUGCCUUAUUCUGCAGUGUAGGUUUCUUACUCUGUGCAGUGACUGCAUGUUCUGUAGAGAUGUAAUAGUAAGUAGCAAUUUGCCGUUCCAUGAAGACAGUGCAGUAUCAGUCCUUUGAGAUGCCAUUCAGACUAUUGAGUCCCGUGUGCUCUUUCCAGAACUGAUGUAUUCAGGAGGCUCUAAAUCCUGCAUUAUUAAAAAAUGUUUGGCAAUAAAGUGAAAUGCCAAAUGGAAAAGACACAUAUACAUUUUUUUUUUUUCUCCUCUGUUGUUCUCCUCUUACUUUUUUCCAGAAAAGUAAGACCAUGCAAUUCCAUGACUGUAUUUUGGAUAGAGAACAGUGUCUUGAUUUAUUGUUGAGCACAUGUAUUACAGAAUUUCUUCUUCUUGGGUUGUGUCGCAUAAUGAUUUGUUUCUGUAUUAGACUUAAAAUACUACAGAUUCUGCAGGACGAGUGUUCAAGAGAGAAAAGUAUUAAAACAACACAUGCUUCAUGAAGACCAAGACAAGGAAUAAACAGACAGUGCUAGAGCCAAGAAAAGAAGUAGUUACCGUGCAAAAAUUUAGGUGACAUACAAAUACACUAAUAAUUCAAAAAGCUUUCUCACAGCCAACAUACAACUUCAACUGCUGGCUGUCUCCCUGCUCUUAUGAUCUUUCCAAUCCUCAUUGACCACAAGGGAAUUAGUUGGCCAGUUUCUAAAGAGAAAUCCAGGUGUUAGGCCUUCCUUGCUCCUACACCACCAAACAUCAGGAUCCAGAAGCAUUCUCAAUUCAGUGUCAAUGACAGGAUCUGAGCCCUGGAAAAUGCAAUUAUGGCCACUUUUCUUUACAGAAGAUGUAAGAGUGCUCUUAGUGCACACUAUAGACACUGUGGACAAAGAUUUCAGCAUUCACCUCACAGCUCCUCUAUCAGAUUGGAACAUGCUUCCACCUCUUUACAGCAAAGUCUCUUAGACACGUGACUAUAGAAUCUUCCAUAAUGAGAACCCUUUAGCUCUGUUGCUCUUCGCUACACAGAAAAGAGGUCAAAAUUCAAGAGAUUCUAAGUAUCUUGCAGGAUUUCUUGCCCUGGGAUGUUCCAAAGACCAGUGCCUUCUUCAAGAAUACUUACUUCAUUGUAUCAUCUAUCACUAUGGCACUAUGUGACACCAGGAGAGAUACUGCAACUGCUGUUUCAAUACCAAGAAAUCAUGUCAAAAUGAACAAACAAAUCAAAUGAAAAGGUUCUCCAGUGGUUCUUGUACCAAAAGAAGAGCCCUAUCCUUGCUCAGGUUUUGGAAGAUGAGAAGUGAGCAGUAUGAACUUGAAGAAUGAGCUUGAUCAGAGAGAGGCAUUUGCCUGUGAGCCAGAACCAGGCUCCUGCCAUCUGCACCCAGCGCAGCAUUGAUGCCAAGUGGAGGCUGUUUCCCUGUCCCUGGCUGAAGUCAUUGCAUUGAAGGGCCUAAAACUUCUGGGCACUCUAUAGGCAAUUGAUGGACAUGAUAUAAAUACUCUGUGUGAUUUAGGCUGCAUUAUGCCAAUUAUGUUAAUUCAUGGUCUGAUUUUCAGGAUCAAAACUGCAUAUGUCCUUCCAGUAAGGCUGUCUGUAAGGUCUAAUUCCAGGUUUUGAACCUUUCUCCAGAUGACUAGGGUCAUAAAUACAUAGCAUCAAGUUUCUAAUUCUACAAUAUUAAGUUCCUAAUACACUGCAAAGCUCUUGAAAAUGUUGUCUGUGGGUUUUGCUUAAUAUGUGAGACCUAUUUGAAAAUGCUGGCAAUAUGUUUACGCUUGAAUUACAUUCUCCUUCAUGAGUUGUGCAAUUUGAGUUGCCUGAGCGUCUUCUUUCUUUCUUUAAUAAACCUGUUUUAUUGAAA